ACUUUAGGCAAUGACACCUAGAAAAACCAACAAUGUAAUUUCACCAAGCAUGAUAAGCAGGGUCGGGCCUUCAAAGUACUUGGCUGGGAGACUGCCUGGGAAUACCGGGUGCUGUAAGCA
This 120-nucleotide ribosomal RNA is filed under the name Calidris pygmaea (Spoon-billed sandpiper). The record is from RNAcentral. Lineage: Eukaryota; Metazoa; Chordata; Aves; Charadriiformes; Scolopacidae.